RNAcentral lists this transfer RNA (87 nucleotides) under Ralstonia pseudosolanacearum GMI1000. Its description in RNAcentral is "Ralstonia solanacearum GMI1000 tRNA". It matches the Rfam family "tRNA". Rfam says of the family: Transfer RNA (tRNA) molecules are approximately 80 nucleotides in length. RNAcentral also lists the same sequence under 2 other names. Lineage: Bacteria; Pseudomonadati; Pseudomonadota; Betaproteobacteria; Burkholderiales; Burkholderiaceae. The record is from Rfam by way of RNAcentral.
GGAAGCGUGGCCGAGUGGUUUAAGGCAGCAGUCUUGAAAACUGCCGAUGGGGUAACCCAUCCGUGAGUUCGAAUCUCACCGCUUCCG